Molecule: long non-coding RNA, 838 nt
Filed under: Nicotiana tabacum (common tobacco)
Lineage: Eukaryota; Viridiplantae; Streptophyta; Magnoliopsida; Solanales; Solanaceae
Description: long non-coding RNA (NTAB_LNC002039)
Source: RNAcentral
UGACUUUAAUGCAUUUGAGUGAAGCAAAAAUGACAUCAUCACAAAUCUUUGUCCUUAUGACUUUUAUGGUCUUCGCCUUUGCAUCACUAGGUGGGUAUUUUCUUUUAAUUGAAUUAGCAAAAGUUAGUACUAAAUUUAUAAUAUCAAACUUAUUUAUUUUUCUAAUCAAUAAAAAUAAUUAAUUAUGCCUGUAAACAUUUUUAAUUUCUACCAAAUUAAUGACGAUACUUCUCAGCAUGUUCUUUAAUUAAACUUAUAAUGUCAAACAUUUUUAAUGAUUAUGAUCAUUCGCUAAAAUUCAUUAUCCAAUGGAUUGUUUAAAACUAUUUUUUAAAAACAAAGUAUUUAGAGGAGUUAGUGGUUUUCAUGUAACUUCUUGAAUUCAUUAAGCGAAUUAUAUUUGUGAAUAAAUUGAAAAAUAUGAAGUAAACAAAAGAAUCUUCAUUUUGUUUGAUUUUAAUAGUUUUUGUUAAUGAAUCAUCAACUCUUAAUUUAAAUAUUUUAACUCAUGCAGAGUUGACAGUUGGGCAAUGUUGGCUUUUUGUUCAUGAAGAUUGGGGAUCCUGUACAAGUGACGACGAUUGUCAGGUUCAGUGUAACAAAUAUCAUGACCGUGCUGCUUCUGUUAAAGGUCAAUGUGAAGCUCAAAUGAGCGUAUGUAGUUGUCAAGCUUGUUCGUACUAACAAUAUAAUAAUUUAUUGUACUGUUGGUAUAUAAGUUAACCAGUUAAUUACAAUUUAUUAUUACUUUAUUUUCGAUGUUAUUGUAUUUAAAAUGCUUAUUAUAAAAAUCACAUGUUAUCAUAAGUAGACUUAACUUAAUAGUGUGAUAAUCAAA